RNAcentral lists this ribosomal RNA (589 nucleotides) under uncultured bacterium. RNAcentral's name for it is "partial 16S ribosomal RNA". It matches the Rfam family "Bacterial small subunit ribosomal RNA", at positions 355 to 1375 of the family's 1533-position model. The record is from RNAcentral.
UGGGGAAUAUUGGACAAUGGGCGCAAGCCUGAUCCAGCCAUACCGCGUGGGUGAAGAAGGCCUUCGGGUUGUAAAGCCCUUUUGUUGGGAAAGAAAUCCAGCUGGCUAAUACCCGGUUAGGAUGACGGUACCCAAAGAAUAAGCACCGGCUAACUUCGUGCCAGCAGCCGCGGUAAUACGAAGGGUGCAAGCGUUACUCGGAAUUACUGGGCGUAAAGCGUGCGUAGGUGGUCGUUUAAGUCCGUUGUGAAAGCCCUGGGCUCAACCUGGGAACUGCAGUGGAUACUGGGCGACUAGAGUGUGGUAGAGGGUAGCGGAAUUCCUGGUGUAGCAGUGAAAUGCGUAGAGAUCAGGAGGAACAUCCAUGGCGAAGGCAGCUACCUGGACCAACACUGACACUGAGGCACGAAAGCGUGGGGAGCAAACAGGAUUAGAUACCCUGGUAGUCCACGCCCUAAACGAUGCGAACUGGAUGUUGGGUGCAAUUUUGGCACGCAGUAUCGAAGCUAACGCGUUAAGUUCGCCGCCUGGGGAGUACGGUCGCAAGACUGAAACUCAAAGGAAUUGACGGGGUCAUAGCUGUUUUCCU